Prinia subflava (tawny-flanked prinia) is the source of this 818-nucleotide long non-coding RNA. RefSeq lists it as uncharacterized. Lineage: Eukaryota; Metazoa; Chordata; Aves; Passeriformes; Cisticolidae. The record is from RefSeq and is a predicted model, not a curated record. The transcript has 4 exons.
CUAGGAUAACUCUGCUUGAGGGAGGCUGGACCAGAUGACCCACUGUGAUCCCUUCCAACCAUAUCCGUGACGUGAUUCUGUGAUUCCCAGCUCUAACUACAUGAAUACAGCUCAGGAAAGAAAGGUCUGGAAAUAGCUGCCUUGGAGACAUCUGCGGGGAAAAGGACAUCUGGGCUUGAGACACCCUGAGCAAGACCCAGAUGGGAGUGUCCAGCCUGGCAGUGACACAGCUCCAGGUGGAUCCCAAGGGAAUUAUCCGGCGUCACAUCAUGGGAUGGAGGAGAGAGCCACGGGGCAAACACAUGGAUUGGAGCAGCAGGAGUAGUGGUUCUCCCACUGCCUCCUCCCAUGGCUUUUGCAGCUGAGCAGUGCUGCUCCAGGGUCACUGCGGUGGAAGCCAGGGCACUGUGCCAACGUCAGCACAAAUGCUGACACAAAUGCAAGCGCACUCUUCUGCCUCAGGGAUGAGCACACGGGAGCUCCUGGUCUCCCUUGCCCUGUGUUUCUGCACUGUGUUUCUCCCUGGAGCCCCCCAGAGCACCUCAGAAAAGGAGCUGAUGCAGGGAGCUGCAGGAUCCCCACCACAGAUACUGGAAUUUUUGAGAGAAGCAGUAAAGAGACUGCCUAGCAAGACUGUAACUGGGCUAAUAACCCUGAUAACCCAAGGCUACAAAGAUGACUUGGGAACCUGAAGGGGAGAUUACUUCUAGUUGAGCCCACACGAAACACUGGGCUGGAUUUAUUGACAUGAGUCACACACACUAAUCCCCACCUCAAGGCUUUCAUUUGGCACUGAGCUCUUACUUUUCAGUCCCCAC